Molecule: ribosomal RNA, 460 nt
Filed under: uncultured bacterium
Lineage: Bacteria
Description: partial 16S ribosomal RNA
Rfam family: Bacterial small subunit ribosomal RNA
Source: RNAcentral
CCUACGGGUGGCAGCAGUGAGGAAUAUUGGUCAAUGGACGCCAGUCUGAACCAGCCAAGCCGCGUGCAGGAAGACGGCUCUAUGGGUUGUAAACUGCUUUUGUACGAGGGUAAAUCCCGAUACGUGUAUCGGGUUGAAAGUAUCGUACGAAUAAGGAUCGGCUAACUCCGUGCCAGCAGCCGCGGUAAUACGGAGGAUUCCAGCGUUAUCCGGAUUUAUUGGGUUUAAAGGGUGCGUAGGCGGUUCGAUAAGUUAGAGGUUAAAUCCCGGGGCUCAACUCUGGCACUGCCUCUGAUACUGGCGGCCUAGAGUGUAGUGGCGGUAGGCGGAAUGUAUGGUGUAGCGGUGAAAUGCAUAGAGAUCACACAGAACACCGAUUGCGAAGGCAGCGUACCAAACGACGACUGACGUUGAGGCACGAAAGCGUGGGGAGCAAACAGGAUUAGAUACCCGUGUAGUC